GACGAACGCUGGCGGCGUGCUUAACACAUGCAAGUCGAACGGAGAGGCCCUGCUUUUGUGGGGUGCUCGAGUGGCGAACGGGUGAGUAACACGUGAGUAACCUGCCCUUGACUUUGGGAUAACUUCAGGAAACUGGGGCUAAUACCGGAUAGGAGCUCCUGCUGCAUGGUGGGGGUUGGAAAGUUUCGGCGGUUGGGGAUGGACUCGCGGCUUAUCAGCUUGUUGGUGGGGUAGUGGCUUACCAAGGCUUUGACGGGUAGCCGGCAUGAGAGGGUGACCGGCCACAUUGGGACUGAGAUACGGCCCAGACUCCUACGGGAGGCAGCAGUGGGGAAUAUUGCACAAUGGGCGGAAGCCUGAUGCAGCAACGCCGCGUGCGGGAUGACGGCCUUCGGGUUGUAAACCGCUUUCGCCUGUGACGAAGCGUGAGUGACGGUAAUGGGUAAAGAAGCACCGGCUAACUACGUG
This 468-nucleotide ribosomal RNA is filed under the name uncultured bacterium. Its description in RNAcentral is "partial 16S ribosomal RNA". It matches the Rfam family "Bacterial small subunit ribosomal RNA", at positions 28 to 507 of the family's 1533-position model. The record is from RNAcentral.